Fundulus heteroclitus (mummichog) is the source of this 413-nucleotide long non-coding RNA. RefSeq lists it as uncharacterized. The record is from RefSeq and is a predicted model, not a curated record. NCBI's taxonomy places the organism in Eukaryota, Metazoa, Chordata, Actinopteri, Cyprinodontiformes, Fundulidae. The transcript has 3 exons.
GUAAGGCCAUCAUUGAACGAUAUAGAGAAGGAGAUAUUGUGGUUCUGAAUCCGAAUGCUUUGAGGGAAAUUGGCUUCACCCUAACUGGAGCAUUACCAGGCUCCAUUGCUGCACUGCUGAUAGUGAUGCCAGGAAUGGGAUGGUUUUCGGCAUUCCUUGCAUUAUUUGCGAUGGCUUGGCAAUGGUUCAUCGCUUUAUUUUGGAGCCUCCUAGGACCUAAACUGGCGUGUUACCUGACAGGUGUCUGCAAUAUUACUGUGGUAUAUCGAACUGAUAUGACAGUUUACUCUCCUCCCUAAGAUGUAGACGAAAUAAAUUUUGUCUUCUGAAAAAUGUUUUCACACCUUCCUCAGUGAACCCUGUUAAGUACUUCUAAGUUAAAUGAAAUGUUAAAUUUUCUUCUCAAAUGCUAA